UACGGAGGGUGCAAGCGUUGCUCGGAUUCACUGGGCGUAAAGAGCACGUAGGCGGCUCGGUAAGUCUGAUGUGAAAGCCCUGGACUCAAUCCAGGAAGUGCAUUGGAUACUGCCGAGCUUGAAUGCAGGAGGGGUAAGCGGAAUUCCAGGUGUAGAGGUGAAAUUCGUAGAUAUCUGGAGGAACAACGGCGGCGAAGGCGGCUUACUGGACUGAUAUUGACGCUGAGGUGCGAAAGUGUGGGGAGCAAACGGG
RNAcentral lists this ribosomal RNA (253 nucleotides) under uncultured bacterium. RNAcentral describes it as "partial 16S ribosomal RNA". It matches the Rfam family "Bacterial small subunit ribosomal RNA", at positions 524 to 776 of the family's 1533-position model. The record is from RNAcentral.